Molecule: ribosomal RNA, 433 nt
Filed under: uncultured bacterium
Lineage: Bacteria
Description: partial 16S ribosomal RNA
Rfam family: Bacterial small subunit ribosomal RNA
Source: RNAcentral
AACGAACGCUGGCGGCAUGCCUAACACAUGCAAGUCGAACGAGACCUUCGGGUCUAGUGGCGCACGGGUGCGUAACGCGUGGGAACCUGCCCUUAGGUUCGGAAUAACUCCCCGAAAGGGGUGCCAAUACCGGAUAAUGUCUUCGGACCAAAGAUUUAUCGCCUUUGGAUGGGCCCGCGUUGGAUUAGCUAGUUGGUAGGGUAAAAGCCUACCAAGGCGACGAUCCAUAGCUGGUCUGAGAGGAUGAUCAGCCACACUGGGACUGAGACACGGCCCAGACUCCUACGGGAGGCAGCAGUGGGGAAUAUUGGACAAUGGGCGAAAGCCUGAUCCAGCAAUGCCGCGUGAGUGAUGAAGGCCUUAGGGUUGUAAAGCUCUUUUACCCGUGAUGAUAAUGACAGUACCGGAAGAAUAAGCUCCGGCUAACUCCGUG